Molecule: long non-coding RNA, 500 nt
Filed under: Phaseolus vulgaris (common bean)
Lineage: Eukaryota; Viridiplantae; Streptophyta; Magnoliopsida; Fabales; Fabaceae
Description: long non-coding RNA (PVUL_LNC004754)
Source: RNAcentral
CUGCUUGCCGGCGAGGCCCGUUCAGAGGCCUCCGGCGCAAUGUCAGGCUUUCUUGUCUAAGCCUGUCGAUUGUAACUCCUUUAACUGCAAAUCGUUUGUUCCUUCACCAACAUCACCUUCACCUGUAACUCCUUCACCUCCAUCACCUGGUACACCUUCACCUAUAACUCCUUCGCCGUUACCUUCGCCUUCAUCGCCACCUUCACCUGUAACUCCUUCACCCCCAUCACCUGGUACACCUUCACCCGGAACUCCUUCACCUCCAUCACCUGGGACUCCUUCGCAUCCAUCACCUGGGACACCUUCACCUGUAACUCCUUCGCCUUCAUCGCCUCCUUCACCUGCUACUCCUUCACCAUUACCUUCACCUACAACACCUUCACCACUGCCUACACCUCCAGCGCCUGCAACACAUCCUUCGCCACCGAACCCACUGGUACCUACACCUCCUUCGGAACCACCGGUGGUCGGACAUUCCCCUCCACCAGGACCGGUGGCAC